CCCAGGGAGGCCAUGCGCCACGGAAGCUGUACGCGUGGCAUAUUGGACUAGCGGUUAGAGGAGACCCCUCCCAUCACCAACGAAACGCAGCAAAAGGGGGCCCGAAGCCAGGAGGAAGCUGUACUCCUGGUGGAAGGA
RNAcentral lists this long non-coding RNA (138 nucleotides) under dengue virus type 4. RNAcentral's name for it is "Dengue virus type 4 partial sfRNA2". The stretch from base 6 to 77 matches the Rfam family "Flavivirus DB element". Rfam says of the family: These DB elements are thought to be required for efficient translation. The record is from RNAcentral. Lineage: Riboviria; Orthornavirae; Kitrinoviricota; Flasuviricetes; Amarillovirales; Flaviviridae.